This 1018-nucleotide ribosomal RNA is filed under the name uncultured organism. RNAcentral's name for it is "bacterial SSU rRNA". It matches the Rfam family "Bacterial small subunit ribosomal RNA", at positions 355 to 1375 of the family's 1533-position model. The record is from RNAcentral.
UAGGGAAUUUUCGGCAAUGGGGGGAACCCUGACCGAGCAACGCCGCGUGAAGGAAGAAGGAAUUCGUUCUGUAAACUUCUGUUAUAAAGGAAGAACGGCGGAUAUAGGGAAUGAUAUCCGAGUGACGGUACUUUAUGAGAAAGCCACGGCUAACUACGUGCCAGCAGCCGCGGUAAUACGUAGGUGGCGAGCGUUAUCCGGAAUUAUUGGGCGUAAAGAGGGAGCAGGCGGCGGCAGAGGUCUGUGGUGAAAGACUGAAGCUUAACUUCAGUAAGCCAUAGAAACCGGGCUGCUAGAGUGCAGGAGAGGAUCGUGGAAUUCCAUGUGUAGCGGUGAAAUGCGUAGAUAUAUGGAGGAACACCAGUGGCGAAGGCGACGGUCUGGCCUGUAACUGACGCUCAUUCCCGAAAGCGUGGGGAGCAAAUAGGAUUAGAUACCCUAGUAGUCCACGCCGUAAACGAUGAGUACUAAGUGUUGGGAGUCAAAUUUCAGUGCUGCAGUUAACGCAAUAAGUACUCCGCCUGAGUAGUACGUUCGCAAGAAUGAAACUCAAAGGAAUUGACGGGGGCCCGCACAAGCGGUGGAGCAUGUGGUUUAAUUCGAAGCAACGCGAAGAACCUUAUCAGGUCUUGACAUCCGGAUAAAGACCUCAGAGAUGAGGGGAUAGAUAUAUCCGAGACAGGUGGUGCAUGGUUGUCGUCAGCUCGUGUCGUGAGAUGUUGGGUUAAGUCCCGCAACGAGCGCAACCCUUGUCGCUAGUUACCAUCAUUAAGUUGGGGACUCUAGCGAGACUGCCAGUGACAAGCUGGAGGAAGGCGGGGAUGACGUCAAAUCAUCAUGCCCCUUAUGACCUGGGCUACACACGUGCUACAAUGGAUGGAGCAGAGGGAAGCGAAGCCGCGAGGUGAAGCAAAACCCAUAAAACCAUUCUCAGUUCGGAUUGUAGUCUGCAACUCGACUACAUGAAGUUGGAAUCGCUAGUAAUCGCGAAUCAGCAUGUCGCGGUGAAUACGUUCUC